This 429-nucleotide ribosomal RNA is filed under the name Gemmatimonadota bacterium. RNAcentral's name for it is "Gemmatimonadetes bacterium partial 16S ribosomal RNA". It matches the Rfam family "Bacterial small subunit ribosomal RNA", at positions 355 to 776 of the family's 1533-position model. Lineage: Bacteria; Pseudomonadati; Gemmatimonadota. The record is from RNAcentral.
UAGGGAAUCUUCGGCAAUGGACGAAAGUCUGACCGAGCAACGCCGCGUGAGUGAAGAAGGUUUUCGGAUCGUAAAACUCUGUUGUUAGAGAAGAACAAGGACGUCAGUAACUGAACGUCCCCUGACGGUAUCUAACCAGAAAGCCACGGCUAACUACGUGCCAGCAGCCGCGGUAAUACGUAGGUGGCAAGCGUUGUCCGGAUUUAUUGGGCGUAAAGCGAGCGCAGGCGGUUUCUUAAGUCUGAUGUGAAAGCCCCCGGCUCAACCGGGGAGGGUCAUUGGAAACUGGGAGACUUGAGUGCAGAAGAGGAGAGUGGAAUUCCAUGUGUAGCGGUGAAAUGCGUAGAUAUAUGGAGGAACACCAGUGGCGAAGGCGGCUCUCUGGUCUGUAACUGACGCUGAGGCUCGAAAGCGUGGGGAGCAAACAGG